GGAGUGUUUAUAUCCCUGUGAGUUUAACACUUCAUGACUGAGAGCUGUCCUUCAUGACAACAGAACCCACAACAACCAUGACUUUUAUCACCAUCUUCAUCUGGACACUGGCACUCUGCUUUCAAGAAUCCGGAGGACAGAUAAGUGUAACUCAGACUCCUGCAGUGAGAGCUGUUCUCCCAGGACAGUCAGUCUCUCUGAACUGUAAAACCAGCAGUAAUGUUUAUAACAAUAACCAACUAUACUGGUACCAACAAAAAGCUGGAGGAACUCCUAAACUCCUUAUUUACUAUGCUAAAACACUUCAGUCUGGGACUCCAUCUAGAUUCAGUGGUAGUGGAUCUGGGAGUGACUUCACUCUGACCAUCAGUGGAGGCCAGGCUGAAGAUGCAGGAGAUUACUACUGUCAGAGUUACCACAGUGGUGGAGUGUUCACACAGUGAUACAGAGCCAUACAAAAACCUCCCUCAGUCAGACUGUACAGUUACUGUACUGCUACAGCUGGGAUCUACUGCAGGUUCUGAGGGGGUCAACUUUGAAAACAGUUGAAAGUAUCAUACAAAUCACAUGUUCUCCAACGUCUUUGUCAUCGUCAUCAUCAUCAUCAUUAUUAUCAUCAUCAAGA
Molecule: non-coding RNA, 625 nt
Organism: Salmo salar (Atlantic salmon)
Lineage: Eukaryota; Metazoa; Chordata; Actinopteri; Salmoniformes; Salmonidae
Source: the annotation of a RefSeq genome assembly